GUCCCGCAACGAGCGCAACCCUUGUCAUUAGUUGCUACGAAAGGGCACUCUAAUGAGACUGCCGGUGACAAACCGGAGGAAGGUGGGGAUGACGUCAAGUCCUCAUGGCCCUUAUGGGUAGGGCUUCACACGUCAUACAAUGGUACAUACAGAGGGCCGCCAACCCGCGAGGGGGAGCUAAUCCCAGAAAGUGUAUCGUAGUCCGGAUUGUAGUCUGCAACUCGACUACAUGAAGUUGGAAUCGCUAGUAAUCGCGGAUCAGCAUGUCGCGGUGAAUACGUUCCCGGGUCUUGUACACACCGCCCGUCACACCAUGGGAGCGGGUUCUGCCAGAAGUAGGUAGCUUAACCGUAAGGAGGGCGCUUACCACGGCAGGGUUCGUGACUGGGGUGAAGUCGUAACAAGGUAACCGUA
Molecule: ribosomal RNA, 414 nt
Filed under: Herbaspirillum autotrophicum
Lineage: Bacteria; Pseudomonadati; Pseudomonadota; Betaproteobacteria; Burkholderiales; Oxalobacteraceae
Description: bacterial SSU rRNA
Rfam family: Bacterial small subunit ribosomal RNA
Source: RNAcentral